AUGGCGAAAGUUUCGCAGGCGAAUCAGGAAUUUUUAUCCCUUGUUAGAAGAAGAGUGUUUGAUGAGAUGAACAAUGCCCAUCUCGCCCCUUACACUGAUGAAGAUGUUCAAAAGGCUCUUUUUGAUAUUGGUGAUUUAAAAGCUCCAGGACCUGAUGGACUUCAUGCAAUCUUCUAUAAAAGGUGUUGGUCCAUGUUAUGGGGUGAUCUGGUUGAUGAGGUGUUGCAAGCGAUGAAUACAUGUACUAUUCCAUUUGGAUGGAAUGAAACAAUCAUUGUGAUGUGGAAGUACCCACUUUAG
This 300-nucleotide ribosomal RNA is filed under the name Triticum aestivum (bread wheat). RNAcentral describes it as "partial small subunit ribosomal RNA". The record is from RNAcentral. Lineage: Eukaryota; Viridiplantae; Streptophyta; Magnoliopsida; Poales; Poaceae.